UCGAACGAUGAAGCCCUUCGGGGUGGAUUAGUGGCGAACGGGUGAGUAACACGUGGGCAAUCUGCCCUUCACUCUGGGACAAGCCCUGGAAACGGGGUCUAAUACCGGAUAACACUUGCCGAGGCAUCUCGGUGGGUUGAAAGCUCCGGCGGUGAAGGAUGAGCCCGCGGCCUAUCAGCUUGUUGGUGAGGUAGAAGCUCACCAAGGCGACGACGGGUAGCCGGCCUGAGAGGGCGACCGGCCACACUGGGACUGAGACACGGCCCAGACUCCUACGGGAGGCAGCAGUGGGGAAUAUUGCACAAUGGGCGAAAGCCUGAUGCAGCGACGCCGCGUGAGGGAUGACGGCCUUCGGGUUGUAAACCUCUUUCAGCAGGGAAGAAGCGAAAGUGACGGUACCUGCAGAAGAAGCGCCGGCUAACUACGUGCCAGCAGCCGCGGUAAUACGUAGGGCGCAAGCGUUGUCCGGAAUUAUUGGGCGUAAAGAGCUCGUAGGCGGUCUGUCGCGUCGGAUGUGAAAGCCCGGGGCUUAACCCCGGGUCUGCAUUCGAUACGGGCAGACUAGAGUGUGGUAGGGGAGAUCGGAAUUCCUGGUGUAGCGGUGAAAUGCGCAGAUAUCAGGAGGAACACCGGUGGCGAAGGCGGAUCUCUGGGCCAUUACUGACGCUGAGGAGCGAAAGCGUGGGGAGCGAACAGGAU
This 699-nucleotide ribosomal RNA is filed under the name Streptomyces sp. DE-528. RNAcentral describes it as "bacterial SSU rRNA". It matches the Rfam family "Bacterial small subunit ribosomal RNA", at positions 62 to 778 of the family's 1533-position model. Lineage: Bacteria; Bacillati; Actinomycetota; Actinomycetes; Kitasatosporales; Streptomycetaceae. The record is from RNAcentral.